CCUACGGGCGGCUGCAGUGGGGAAUUUUGCGCAAUGCUCGUAAGAGUGACGCAGCGACGCCGCGUGAAUGACGAAGGCCUUCGGGUCGUAAAGUUCUUUCGACAGGGAAGAAAAUGCAUAUAAGUAACUGUGUAUGUAUUGACGGUACCUGUAUAAGCAGCCCCGGCUAACUCCGUGCCAGCAGCCGCGGUAAUACGGAGGGGGCGGGCGUUGUUCGGAGGGACUGGGCGUAAAGAGCACGUAGGCGGUGUUGUAAGUCAUUAGUCAAAGACUAGAGCUCAACUUUAGUAAGGCUAGUGAUACUAUAAUACUAGAGUAUCAGAGAGGAUUGCAGAAUUCCUGGUGUAGCGGUGAAAUGCGGAGAUAUCAGGAGGAAUACCGUUAGCGAAGGCGGCAAUCUGGCUGGAAACUGACGCUGAGGUGCGAAAGCGUGGGUAGCAAACAGGAUUAGAUACCCUGGUAGUC
Molecule: ribosomal RNA, 465 nt
Filed under: uncultured bacterium
Lineage: Bacteria
Description: partial 16S ribosomal RNA
Rfam family: Bacterial small subunit ribosomal RNA
Source: RNAcentral